RNAcentral lists this ribosomal RNA (467 nucleotides) under uncultured bacterium. RNAcentral describes it as "partial 16S ribosomal RNA". It matches the Rfam family "Bacterial small subunit ribosomal RNA", at positions 28 to 506 of the family's 1533-position model. The record is from RNAcentral.
GACGAACGCUGGCGGCGUGCUUAACACAUGCAAGUCGAACGGAAAGGCCCUGCUCUUGCGCGGUGCUCGAGUGGCGAACGGGUGAGUAACACGUGAGUAACCUGCCCUUGACUUUGGGAUAACUUCAGGAAACUGGGGCUAAUACCGGAUAGGAGCUCCUGCUGCACGGUGGGGGAUGGAAAGUUUCGGCGGUUGGGGAUGGACUCGCGGCUUAUCCGCUUGUUGGUGGGGUAGUGGCUUACCAAGGCUUUGACGGGUAGCCGGCCUGAGAGGGUGAACGGCGACCUUGGGACUGCGAGACGGCCCAGAAUCCUACGGGAGGCAGCAGGGGGGAGUAUUGCGCAAUGGGCGGGAGCCUGAUGCAGCAACGCCGCGUGCGGGAAGCCGGCUUUCGGGUUGUAAACCGAUGUCGAAGGUGACGAAGCGUGAGUGACGGGAAUGGGUAAAGAAGCACCGGCUAACUACGU